CGUCCCUACUGGGACAGAGCCUGCUACUCAGCUUAGUGUUCUUAUGAGCACUUCCACAGUUAUUAACUGAGAGCUUAUCACCCCUAUUCUGGUUUACGACCGUAUCUGUCUUUCGAACGAAUGUAUCUAUUCGAAUGUAUUCGAAAAUGGUAUUCUUGUUUUCGUUCGUAUCCGUAUCGAACACGAUUCGUAUGCGAAAAAGUGUUACCGUAUCAGCACUCUUUCGAACCAAUUCUAAGCUGUCAAAAAAAGUAAACAGAACGGGGAUUUUUUUUCUUUUAUUUGCCAUUACUCAAAACUUCGUCGUUUGUGAUUCCUGAAUAACAUUGUGGUCAUCGGAGAUCCGGAUUUUUAGGCAUUUAAGUGAUUGAACGGGAUGGAAACAUUGAUGCUGGUCGCUGUGGGAGACGAGGAUGAGAUGGAGCAUAGGAGACGGCUAUGAUCCAAUUUCCGGGAGCAGUUCAAUGUUGUUGAAAUGCCUGAUUCAGAGUUUACCAACAACUUUCAUUCAAUUAGGCGGCAUAUAAGUCAACCUUGAAGAAAUCAGCGAUAAAUUCUUCCUCGAAAACAAGUGGGUCUCAAUGGAGCACGGGCCUGUUGAUUCUUUACGUUUUUUUGAUGCGGGAAAAGGCUUCGUUCUGGAAAGAGAAAAUUCCCAAUGGUGGACGACGGUUCAGAUGUCGGGCGAAAAAAUACGCCGGACCUCCUCCAGCGGUUAUUGACUGUCCUCUUUCGGAAAACACCACUGGAUUUAAGCCUAGGAGUGCCUUUGGCGUCGAAACAAAACGAGGAGUAUUGGCAGACACCCUUGAUGUUUCAUGGUGAAAUUAUGGACAUAAAUUAUGACAAAAUAAUUAAAUAAG
This is a long non-coding RNA of Aedes aegypti (yellow fever mosquito), 863 nucleotides long. RefSeq lists it as uncharacterized. The transcript has 2 exons. Lineage: Eukaryota; Metazoa; Arthropoda; Insecta; Diptera; Culicidae. The record is from RefSeq and is a predicted model, not a curated record.